GGGGAAGUUCUCUCUCAUACGAGUGAGACCAAUUCAAAGGAGUUCCUGGUGUUGAGAUCUCCUUCCAAGGACCAGUUCCUGGAGGACCAAUAGGUUUUGGCAUGAACCAUGGUUGAUCGGACAUGGAUGAUAUGAGAGCAUCAGACCGCUGCUUAAAUCUUGAAAUCCCUGUACUUGCAAGCCUCUGUCAUUACAUCAAGUAUAUCAUUAACCGCUGGCUGACAUCUAAAUUUGGUGAAUAAAACAAUUCUUGAUCGGACAUGGAUGAUAUGAGAGCGCCAGACCGUUGCUUAAAUCUUGAAAACUCUGUACUUGCAAGCUCCUGUGCAGCCUCUGUCAUUACAUCAAGUAUCAUUAGCCGCUGGCUGACAUCUAAAGUUGGU
RNAcentral lists this long non-coding RNA (383 nucleotides) under Nicotiana benthamiana. RNAcentral describes it as "long non-coding RNA (NBEN_LNC008330)". Lineage: Eukaryota; Viridiplantae; Streptophyta; Magnoliopsida; Solanales; Solanaceae. The record is from RNAcentral.